GACGAACGCUGGCGGCGUGCUUAACACAUGCAAGUCGAACGGAAAGGCCCUGCUUUUGUGGGGUGCUCGAGUGGCGAACGGGUGAGUAACACGUGAGUAACCUGCCCUUGACUUUGGGAUAACUUCAGGAAACUGGGGCUAAUACCGGAUAGGAGCUCCUGCUGCAUGGUGGGGGUUGGAAAGUUUCGGCGGUUGGGGAUGGACUCGCGGCUUAUCAGCUUGUUGGUGGGGUAGUGGCUUACCAAGGCUUUGACGGGUAGCCGGCCUGAGAGGGUGACCGGCCACAUUGGGACUGAGAUACGGCCCAGACUCCUACGGGAGGCAGCAGUGGGGAAUAUUGCACAAUGGGCGGAAGCCUGAUGCAGCAACGCCGCGUGCGGGAUGACGGCCUUCGGGUUGUAAACCGCUUUCACCUGUGACGAAGCGUGAGUGACGGUAAUGGGUAAAGAAGCACCGGCUAACUACGUGCCAGCAGCCGCGGUGAUACGUAGGGUGCGAGCGUUGUCCGGAUUUAUUGGGCGUAAAGGGCUCGUAGGUGGUUGAUCGCGUCGGAAGUGUAAUCUUGGGGCUUAACCCUGAGCGUGCUUUCGAUACGGGUUGACUUGAGGAAGGUAGGGGAGAAUGGAAUUCCUGGUGGAGCGGUGGAAUGCGCAGAUAUCAGGAGGAACACCAGUGGCGAAGGCGGUUCUCUGGGCCUUUCCUGACGCUGAGGAGCGAAAGCGUGGGGAGCGAACAGGCUUAGAUACCCUGGUAGUCCACGCUGUAAACGGUGGGUACUAGGUGUGGGGUCCAUUCCACGGGUUCCGUGCCGUAGCUAACGCUUUAAGUACCCCGCCUGGGGAGUACGGCCGCAAGGCUAAAACUCAAAGGAAUUGACGGGGCCCCGCACAAGCGGCGGAGCAUGCGGAUUAAUUCGAUGCAACGCGUAGAACCUUACCUGGGUUUGACAUGGAUCGGGAGCGCUCAGAGAUGGGUGUGCCUCUUUUGGGGUCGGUUCACAGGUGGUGCAUGGCUGUCGUCAGCUCGUGUCGUGAGAUGUUGGGUUUAGUCCCGCAACGAGCGCAACCCUUGUUCACUGUUGCCAGCACGUUAUGGUGGGGACUCAGUGGAGACCGCCGGGGUCAACUCGGAGGAAGGUGGGGAUGACGUCAAGUCAUCAUGCCCCUUAUGUCCAGGGCUUCACGCAUACUACAAUGGCUGGUACAGAGAGUGGCGAGCCUGUGAGGGUGAGCGAAUCUCGGAAAGCCGGUCUCAGUUCGGAUUGGGGUCUGCAACUCGACCUCAUGAAGUCGGAGUCGCUAGUAAUCGCAGAUCAGCAACGCUGCGGUGAAUACGUUCCCGGG
Molecule: ribosomal RNA, 1343 nt
Filed under: uncultured bacterium
Lineage: Bacteria
Description: 16S ribosomal RNA
Rfam family: Bacterial small subunit ribosomal RNA
Source: RNAcentral